Long non-coding RNA from Manis pentadactyla (Chinese pangolin), 872 nucleotides. RefSeq lists it as uncharacterized. The record is from RefSeq and is a predicted model, not a curated record. The transcript has 3 exons. Lineage: Eukaryota; Metazoa; Chordata; Mammalia; Pholidota; Manidae.
CCCACGCCCAGGGGCCGGUCCAGAGCCCCCCACCCCACGCCACCCUCACCCGGCUUAGGCGAGCGACAAGGGCUCUCCGUGAACCUUGUAAGGUCUUGUGCUGGCACCUUUCACUCCGCGACAUAUUCACCUCAGUGCCCGUAUUCGGACAGCCGCUCCGCCCGCCAACUGGGAUGACCAGCUCAGGGACAACAGUCCGGGACGGUGGCCGGCCCCCUGAGGGACAAAGGCCACCUUCAAAGGAGCCCACAGAAACACAAAAAGCACAGGGGGAUUCUCUUGCUGCUGAAAAUGACUUUGCCUAGUACCCAGAAUCCAGAAAUGGUCAGAGGGCACCGUCGCCCGGGGUAGGGGUCCACGACGUGGAGGCCCGUGCAGAGAUCGGAGAGGGGCGGCCACGGCCUGGAAGUCGCACGGGGACCGGCAAGCUAUCGCGUAAGCCUGAAGCCCCAGAGACCCCGAUCUCAGAGCCGGCGGGACCCCGCUGCGCCGAGCCGCGGCGGGGCAACUUCCCGACCCGGCUGCGUCCUCGGGCUCGCUCGGGGCUGUCGGACAGAGCCGCCUGCCUGGCCCCAGGUGCGUCAGCACCGGCCCGCGCCUCGGAGAAUCGAAAUGGGGCCGUGAUCCACACUCUUCCCCUCGUGGAGAGAAACUGAGACUCCCGGCUCCGCGACUUAGCCAAUUGCGUGACCGGGACGAAGUCAGGAAACUUCUGAUCUGUGAAGAAAGUAAAUAAAGACAACAGUAGCAGUACUAUAAGCAUUUGUUUACCCAGCGUGAUAGGGUCAAAUGAGAUGGCUUUUUCAAUGAGCAUAUGUAUGAUAUCCACCUACUAUAUGACAGGCACUGCGCUAGGCUCUUUAAUUCUAAAA